RNAcentral lists this ribosomal RNA (774 nucleotides) under uncultured Neocallimastigales. RNAcentral describes it as "partial large subunit ribosomal RNA". It matches the Rfam family "Eukaryotic large subunit ribosomal RNA", at positions 22 to 621 of the family's 3401-position model. Lineage: Eukaryota; Fungi; Neocallimastigomycota; Neocallimastigomycetes; Neocallimastigales. The record is from RNAcentral.
AUAUCAGUCAUGCAUAGCAUAUCAAUAAGCGGAGGAAAAGAAACUAACAAGGAUUCCCUUAGUAACGGCGAGUGAAGCGGGAAGAGCUCAAAUUUGAAAUCUUCAAGGUUUUACCUUGACGAAUUGUAGUUUAAAGAAGUGUUUUCUGUUGAAGUUUUGGUAAAAGUUCUUUGGAAUAGGACAUCAUAGAGGGUGAGAAUCCCGUAUUUGACCAUUACUUUCAGCUUUGUGAUACACUUUCAAAGAGUCGGAUUGUUUGGGAAUGCAGUCCAAAAUGGGUGGUAAAUUUCAUCUAAAGCUAAAUAUUGGCGAGAGACCGAUAGCGAACAAGUACCGUGAGGGAAAGAUGAAAAGAACUUUGAAAAGAGAGUUAAACAGUACGUGAAAUUGUCAAAAGGGAAGCGUUUGACACCAGUGUUGUUUUCUCGAAAAUCAAUUAAAAAGAGUUGGAUUUUGUGUUGUAUUGACUUUAUCAGCUUUCUUCACUCUUUUCCAGCUUUUUUUAAUGCACUUUUCGUUUAACAAGUCAACAUCAGUUUCUUUUGUUGUAAAAAGGUCAUUGGAAGGUGGCUUUCUCUCCGGAGAAAGUGUUUAUAGCCUUUGACUCAUGCAAUCGGAGAGACUGAGGUCUGCAGCGUAGAUCCUUCGGGGUUAGAUACAUUUGUGCUAAGUUAUAGCUUUUCAUAGACAACUUGUUGACUAUGUUUAGUCUUGUAGCUUACUCGCUUAUGCUAUUUUACCUACGCUUAGGAUGUUGAACUCUAUCACACACAG